This 534-nucleotide ribosomal RNA is filed under the name uncultured bacterium. RNAcentral describes it as "bacterial SSU rRNA". The record is from RNAcentral.
UGUAAAACGACGGGCCAGUGAAUGUAAUACGACUCACUAUAGGGCGAAUUGGGCCCGACGUCGCAUGCUCCCGGCCGCCAUGGCGGCCGCGGGAAUUCGAUUAGAGUUUGAUCAUGGCUCAGGAUGAACGCUUGCGGUGUGCCUAAUGCAUGCAAGUCGAACGGUUUUCCUUUGGAGAGCAAUCUUUGAAGGAAAAUAGUGGCGAACGGGUGAGUAACGCGUAAGUAACCUGCCCUCUAGUGUGGGAUAAUCCGCCGAAAGGUGGACUAAUACCUCAUGUUAUGGUCGUGGGAAGUUCAUGAUCAUCAAAGGGUCCGCAAGGACUUGCUAGAGGAGGGGCUUGCGUCCGAUUAGCUAGUUGGUAGGGUAACGGCCUACCAAGGCAGUAAUCGGUAGCUGGUCUGAGAGGACGAUCAGCCACACUGGGACUGAGACACGGCCCAGACUCCUACGGGAGGCAGCAGCAAGGAAUUUUGCGCAAUGGACGAAASUCUGACGCAGCAMCACCGCGUGASGSAAGAAGGCCUYCSGSUU